UUGAGUAUGGGAGAGGUGAGUGGAAUUUCCGGUGUAGCGGUGAAAUGCGUAGAUAUCGGAAGGAACACCUGUGGCGAAAGCGGCUCACUGGACCAUUACUGACGCUGAUGCACGAAAGCUAGGGGAGCAAACAGGAUUAGAUACCCUGGUAGUCCUAGCCCUAAACGAUGAUUGCUUGAUGUGGUGGGUACCCAAUCCCGCCGUGUCGAAGCUAACGCGAUAAGCAAUCCGCCUGGGGAGUACGGUCGCAAGGCUGAA
RNAcentral lists this ribosomal RNA (258 nucleotides) under uncultured bacterium. RNAcentral's name for it is "partial 16S ribosomal RNA". It matches the Rfam family "Bacterial small subunit ribosomal RNA", at positions 642 to 898 of the family's 1533-position model. The record is from RNAcentral.